RNAcentral lists this ribosomal RNA (494 nucleotides) under uncultured bacterium. Its description in RNAcentral is "partial 16S ribosomal RNA". It matches the Rfam family "Bacterial small subunit ribosomal RNA", at positions 28 to 507 of the family's 1533-position model. The record is from RNAcentral.
GACGAACGCUGGCGGCGUGCUUAACACAUGCAAGUCGAACGGAAAGGCCUGCUUUUCCUUGUGCAUUGCGUGUACUCGAGUGGCUAACGGGUGAGUAACACGUGAGUGUUCUGCCCCCAACUUGGUUAUAAGCCUGGGAAACUGGGUCUAAUUCCCGAUAGGACUGCAGGGUGGUGCCUGUGGUGGCAAACUUUUUUCUAGUGGUUGAGGAUGAGAUCGCGGCUUAUCUGCUUGUUGGUGGGGUAAUUGCCUACCAAGGCGGCGACGGGUAGCCGGCGUGAGAGGGUCGACGGCCGAAUUGGGACUGAGAUACGGCCCAGACGGCUACGAGAGGUAGGAGUGGGGAAGAUUGCAGAAUGGGCGGAAGGCUGAUGCAGCGAGGCAGCGAGGGAGAUGACGGGCUUGGGAUUGUAAGCUCCUAGGGACCAAGAGAAAGGCACCUGGUUGGAAGCGUGGUGACGGUAGUGGUAGAAGAAGCACCGGCUAACUACGUG